AGUGAACGCUGGCGGUGGGCCUAACACAUGCAAGUCGAACGGCAGCACAGUAAGAGCUUGCUCUUACGGGUGGCGAGUGGCGGACGGGUGAGGAAUACAUCGGAAUCUACUUUUUCGUGGGGGAUAACGUAGGGAAACUUACGCUAAUACCGCAUACGACCUACGGGUGAAAGCAGGGGAUCUUCGGACCUUGCGCGAUUGAAUGAGCCGAUGUCGGAUUAGCUAGUUGGCGGGGCAAAGGCCCACCAAGGCGACGAUCCGUAGCUGGUCUGAGAGCAUGAUUCGCCACACUGGAUCUGAGACAGGGUCCAGACUCCUAGGGGAGGAAGCAGUGGGGAAUAUUGGGCAAGGGGGGCGAGCCUGAUCCAGCCAUACCGCGUGAGUGAAGAAGGCGUUCGGGUUGUAAAGCCAUGUUGUUGGGAAAGAAAAGCAGCAGGUUAACACCCCGCGGUACUGACGGUACCCAAAGAAUAAGCACCGGCUAACUUCGUG
This 492-nucleotide ribosomal RNA is filed under the name uncultured bacterium. RNAcentral's name for it is "partial 16S ribosomal RNA". It matches the Rfam family "Bacterial small subunit ribosomal RNA", at positions 29 to 507 of the family's 1533-position model. The record is from RNAcentral.